RNAcentral lists this small nuclear RNA (80 nucleotides) under Vulpes vulpes (red fox). RNAcentral's name for it is "U4 spliceosomal RNA (ENSVVUG00000019195.1)". It matches the Rfam family "U4 spliceosomal RNA". From Rfam's summary of the family: U4 small nuclear RNA (U4 snRNA) is a component of the major U2-dependent spliceosome. The structure of U4 snRNA from yeast and human has been reported. U4 snRNA presents a k-turn RNA motif in the 5p-SL related to recognition of Snu13 protein. Lineage: Eukaryota; Metazoa; Chordata; Mammalia; Carnivora; Canidae. The record is from RNAcentral.
AGCUUUGCACCGUGGCAGUAUCGUAGCCAAUGAGGUUUAUCCAAGACGCGAUUAUUGCUAAUUGAAAAAGAUAAUUUGGC